Molecule: non-coding RNA, 116 nt
Filed under: Peptoniphilus sp. ING2-D1G
Lineage: Bacteria; Bacillati; Bacillota; Tissierellia; Tissierellales; Peptoniphilaceae
Also listed under: 1 other name
Description: FMN riboswitch aptamer (RFN element)
Rfam family: FMN riboswitch aptamer (RFN element)
About the family: The RFN element is a highly conserved domain that is found frequently in the 5'-untranslated regions of prokaryotic mRNAs that encode for flavin mononucleotide (FMN) biosynthesis and transport proteins.
Source: Rfam by way of RNAcentral
AAACAUCUUCAGGGUAGGGUGAAAGUCCCAACCGGCGGUAAAGUCCGCGACUCCUACGGGAUUGAACUUGUGAAAUUCAAGUACCGACAGUAAAGUCUGGAUGGAAGAAGAUUAAU